RNAcentral lists this ribosomal RNA (513 nucleotides) under uncultured bacterium. Its description in RNAcentral is "partial 16S ribosomal RNA". It matches the Rfam family "Bacterial small subunit ribosomal RNA", at positions 28 to 523 of the family's 1533-position model. The record is from RNAcentral.
GACGAACGCUGGCGGCGUGCCUAAUACAUGCAAGUUGAGCGCUGAAGGUUGGUACUUGUACCAACUGGAUGAGCAGCGAACGGGUGAGUAACGCGUGGGGAAUCUGCCUUUGAGCGGGGGACAACAUUUGGAAACGAAUGCUAAUACCGCAUAAAACCUUUAAACACAAGUUUUAAGUUUGAAAGAUGCAAUUGCAUCACUCAAAGAUGAUCCCGCGUUGUAUUAGCUAGUUGGUGAGGUAAAGGCUCACCAAGGCGAUGAUACAUAGCAGACCUGAGAGGGUUAUCGGGCAGAUUGGGACUGAGACACGGCCCAAACUCCUACGGGAGGCAGCAGUAGGGAAUCUUCGGCAAUGGACGAAAGUCUGACCGAGCAACGCCGCGUGAGUGAAGAAGGUUUUCGGAUCGUAAAACUCUGUUGGUAGAGAAGAACGUUGGUGAGAGUGGAAAGCUCAUCAAGUGACGGUAACUACCCAGAAAGGGACGGCUAACUACGUGCCAGCCGCCGCGGUAA